CAAUAGCGUAUAUUUAAGUUGUUGCAGUUAAAAAGCUCGUAGUUGGAUUUCGGAUGGGACGCAGCGGUCUCGCAUUGCGUUUGUACUGCUGCAGCCCUCCUUCUUGCCGGGGGCGGCCUCUCGGACUUCACUGUCUGGGGGUCAGAAUCGGCGAUGUUACUUUGAGUAAAUUAGAGUGUUCAAAGCAAGCUUACGCUCUGAAUAUAAUAGCAUGGGAUAACACGACAGGACUCUGGCCUAUCGUGUUGGUCUAUAGGACCAGAGUAAUGAUUAAGAGGGACAGUCGGGGGCAUUCGUAUUCCGUUGUCAGAGGUGAAAUUCUUGGAUUUACGGAAGACGAACAUCUGCGAAAGCAUUUGCCAAGGAUGUUUUCAUUG
This 377-nucleotide ribosomal RNA is filed under the name uncultured eukaryote. Its description in RNAcentral is "partial 18S ribosomal RNA". It matches the Rfam family "Eukaryotic small subunit ribosomal RNA", at positions 592 to 975 of the family's 1831-position model. The record is from RNAcentral.